Molecule: ribosomal RNA, 183 nt
Organism: Lupinus angustifolius (narrow-leaved blue lupine)
Lineage: Eukaryota; Viridiplantae; Streptophyta; Magnoliopsida; Fabales; Fabaceae
Rfam family: Bacterial large subunit ribosomal RNA
Source: Rfam
AAUUUCAUACAAAAAAAAGGGUAUUAUUGAAGUCGUAAGGCCAUGUAUGGGACUGACGCUUGCCCAAUGUCGGAAGGUCAAGAAAGUUGGUGACCUGAUGACAAGGGAGCCGGUAAUCGAAGCUCCAGUGAACGGUUGCCGUAACUAUAAUGAUCCUAAGGUAGUGAAAUAGGCUCAGUGAAA